GGGACUCAUGAAGAAGACCAUCUGGAACUAAGUUGAAGACUUAUUUCUCUCUCUCGAUUGCAAAGAAGAAUAUAAUUUAUGUUCCUAUGCUUCCGGUUACACAAGUUGUGUUGCGGCUUCUGAACUUGCUUUUGCAAAUUCCCCGCUUCUUAUGUAAUUGCUUAGUUCAUAAUAAAUUCCGGUGGAAGCCUGAGGCUUCUUCCAUUAUCAUCAAAAGAAAAAAAGUUCAUCCACGGAUCACUAUAUAUUCCUUUACACUUUUGUUAAUUUCUCCCGGGCAGAUUUAUUAGAGGCAAAGAGUUAUU
RNAcentral lists this long non-coding RNA (305 nucleotides) under Elaeis guineensis (African oil palm). RNAcentral describes it as "long non-coding RNA (EGUI_LNC006042)". The record is from RNAcentral. Lineage: Eukaryota; Viridiplantae; Streptophyta; Magnoliopsida; Arecales; Arecaceae.